UGCUCUUUUUUAUUUUAUUUUAUUUUUUAUCUUUAUUAACUUGAGUAUUUCUUAUUUACAUUUCGAUUGUUAUUCCCCUUCCCGGUUUCCGGGCCAACAUUCCCCCUAACCCCUCCCCCUCCCCUUCAAUAAGGGUUUCCCCUCUCCAUCCUAACCCCAUUACCACCCUCCCCCCAACAAUCACGUUCACUGGGGGACCAAGGGCUUCCCCUUCCACUGGUGCUCUUACUAGGCUAUUCAUUGCUACCUAUGAGGUCAGAGUCCAGGGUCAGUCCAUGUGUAGUCUUUAGGUAGUGGCUUAGUCCCUGGAAGCUCUGGUUGGUUGGCAUUGUUGUUCAUGUGGGGUCUCAAGCCCCUUCAGCUCUUCCAGUCCUUUCUCUGAUUCCUUCAACGGGGGUCCCAAUCAGUGGAUUGCUGCUGGCAUUCGCCUAUGUAUUUGCUGUAUUCUGGGUGUGUCUCUCAGGAAAGAUCUAUAUCCGAUUCCUGUCGGCCUGCACUUCUUUGCUUCAUCCAUCUUAUCUAAUUGGGUGGCUGUAUAUGUAUGGGCCACAUGUGGGGCAGGCUCUAAAUGAGUGUUCCUUCUGCCUCUGUUCUAAACUUUGCCUCCCUAUUCCCUGCCAAGGGUAUUCUUGUUCCCCUUUUAAAGAAGGAGUGAAGCAUUCACAUUUUGAUCAUCCCGCUUGAGUUUCAUGUGUUCUGUACAUCUAGGGCAAUUCAAGCAUUUGGGCUAAUACCCACUUAUCAAUGAGUGCAUACCAUGUGUGUUUUUCUGUGAUUGGGUUAGCUCACUCAGGAUGAUAUUUUCCAGUUCCAACCAUUUGCCUAUGAAUUUCAUAAAGUCAUUGUUUUUGAUAGCGGAGUAAUAUUCCAUUGUGUAGAUGUACCACAUUUUCUGUAUCCAUUCCUCUGUUGAAGGGCAUCUGGGUUCUUUCCAGCUUCUGGCUAUUAUAAAUAAGGCUGCAAUGAACAUAGCGGAGCACGUGUCUUUGUUACGUGUUGGGGCAUCUUUUGGGUAUAUGCCCAAGAGAGGUAUAGCUGGGUCCUCAGGUAGUUCAAUGUCCAAUUUUCUGAGGAACCUCCAGACUGAUUUCCAGCAUGGUUGUACCAGUCUGCAAUCCCACCAACAAGGUAUGCCGCUCUUUUUUUUUGUUUGUUUGUUUGUUUCUUUUUUUUCGGAGCUGGGGACGGAACCCAGGGCCUUGCGCUUCCUAGGCAAGCGCUCUACCACUGUGCUAAAUCCCCAACCCCAGUAUGCCACUCUUAUUUGAAUCUUUUGUGUGUUUUUUUUCCUCCCUGGGGCCUCCUCCCCCAUCCUCCACCCCUUCCUGCUGGUUUGCAUGCAACUCCUCAGGCUUGCCUGUGGAGCGUGCUCUGGGUUUGUAGGUCUGGCUAGAAUCCCCGGAGUUGCCUGUGCUGGUCAAGUUGUCCUCAAACUCACAGAAGUUUGCCUCCAUCUGUCUGCCAAGUGCUGGGAUCAAACUUGUGUUAUGCCUGGUCUACCUUUCCCUCCUAACGUUAACACUGACCUGGGUUUGAGGCCAGGGGUAUUCACAGUGUGGGAACCCUGGGAAGUGACUCACCAGGUAGGAUCCUGGGUUUCUGCAUCUGGAAGACACUUCAGGGUGGCAAGGAGCAGGUGUCCAGGCUGGCCCCUGUAGGUUUGAGUUCUUUACUGAGGGACUGCGGAUGGGUUUCCAGGGAGGGCAUUUGAAUAUGAAAUUCUGAGAAAAUAGCCAUGGAUUCCUUUUUUCUGAGAAAGGGGUUCAAUAAUAAUGAUUUUUGUCCCACCUAGGUUUCUAAAAUUUUUGUUUUGUUUUGUUUUGUUUUUCUUUUCUUUUUUUCGGAGCUGGGGACUGAACGCAGGGCCUUGUGCUUGCUAGGUAAGCGCCCUACCACUGAGCUAAGUCCCCACCCCCAGAUGUGAAUUCUUAAUAAGAGUAAAUUAAAACCACACGAGUUCAAGGAUGGGGUCUGGAGAGAGUAAACGUGCCACCCUUACUAGCACGAAGACCUGAGUUUGGAUUCCCCAGGACCCACACAAAAGUUAGUCUGCAAUCUUCACACUGAGGGCAUGGGGGGGGGUUAGUGAGUUCCAGGUUCAUCCAGCAAGAGACCUUGUCUUUAAAAAAAAAAAAAGGAGAAUGAUAGAAAAAUACAGUAGACAUUAGCCAGGUGUGGUGGUGCAUGCCCACCCCAGCACUCAGGAGGCAGAGGCAGGUGGAUGUCUGUGAGUUUGAGGCCACCUGGUCCACAGAGUGAGUUUCAAUAUGGUCAGAACUACAGAGUGAGAACCUUGUCUUGAAAAAGAAAAAAGAAAAAUACGCCGAUAAUCAGUUUCUGGCCUCCACGCACACAGGCUCAGAUGUGUGUGCAUGCACAUGCACACACAUACACGCACACACAUGCACAUGCACACACAUGCACGCACAUACAUGCACACACACGCACAUGCGCGCACAUACACGCACACACAUGCACAUACACACACGCACAUACACACACAUGCACACACAUGCACAUACAUGCACAUACACACACAUGUGCGCACAUACACGCAUGCGUGCCCACACACUCCCUCCAUGGACACCUCUACGGCCUCCCCAGCACAGAGCUCAGAGGUGACCCCAGGGUCACCUACAUAAAAUCCCACUUCUGACACUCAACAGCUGUGUCACCUGGAUUAGAUACCUCACCUGGCUGUGCUCGGUUUCCUUGUUGGUAAAUUAGAAAUAGUGUCUUCCCAGAGGAUUAUGGGAUUAAACACCAUCACAAAGGGCUGGAACCCAGAAACACGGUAGAGAGGGGCCUCAACUUUGCCUCUGUAUUUUGUUGUUUGAGACAGGGUUUCUCUGUGUAGCCCUGGCUGUCCUGGAUCUCACGCUAGAUCAGGCUGGCCUUGAACUCAGAGAUCCACUUGCCUCUGCUGAGAGAUUCUGGAACCCCUACUCUCCAUCUCCAUGUUUGGUGUGUCAGACUCUCUUCCUGUUUCUUCAUCCUCUUGAGCUGGAGACGGAGGUUCCUCCCACUCACCCUACUGGCCUCUCAGAGUCAGUGCUCACAUCCCUGCAACUUACCUCACAGCAUCUGGUCCUUUCUCUUCUGUUUUCCUCUUCAGAGCAUCCUGUCCUCAAGGCUCUGGUCCAUUGCUGCCUCACACAUGUGACCGACACACAGUCUGAUGUCUGACUCCGGCUCAGCCAGAAGGCCGGGAGCCAAGCCUGGAAUCUCGAAGAGCGCUGUAUUAAUAUAGCAUGUGGUCUGGCCCACCAUUUUCUCUUUUCUGACCUGGAGGAAGUUUUUGCCAGGGCACUCUGGUUCCCCAAGAAGACUGUUGUAGUUCUGGUGCAGCCUUACCACCAUAGACAGUGGGCACAUGGGAGGGUGGUGGAACGAAGGACCCAUUGCUUGAGGCCGUUCAGGUCCUUUGUCUCUGUCUUUCCUGGGAUCUAAGGUGACUGCAGGCAUGACUCAGGAAAAAGAGGACAAAGCAGAGCCAGACCAGUGACUGCCUCUCUCUCGGUAGCCGGCUGUGUGGGACCCCCAUGGCCAGCCUGGCUUUAGGACUGAGCCCAUACUGCCCAGUUGUGUGAACUUACCCUAUUUUGUACCUUCAUUUCCUUACCUAUAAAAUGUGUAUAAUUGUGGUUA
Non-coding RNA from Rattus norvegicus (Norway rat), 3648 nucleotides. NCBI's taxonomy places the organism in Eukaryota, Metazoa, Chordata, Mammalia, Rodentia, Muridae. The record is from RefSeq and is a predicted model, not a curated record.